AUUGAACGCUGGCGGCAUGCCUUACACAUGCAAGUCGAACGGUAACGCGGGGCAACCUGGCGACGAGUGGCGAACGGGUGAGUAAUAUAUCGGAACGUGCCCAGUAGUGGGGGAUAGCCCGGCGAAAGCCGGAUUAAUACCGCAUACGACCUACGGGUGAAAGCGGGGGAUCGCAAGACCUCGCGCUAUUGGAGCGGCCGAUAUCAGAUUAGGUAGUUGGUGGGGUAAAAGCCUACCAAGCCAACGAUCUGUAGCUGGUCUGAGAGGACGACCAGCCACACUGGGACUGAGACACGGCCCAGACUCCUACGGGAGGCAGCAGUGGGGAAUUUUGGACAAUGGGCGCAAGCCUGAUCCAGCCAUGCCGCGUGCGGGAAGAAGGCCUUCGGGUUGUAAACCGCUUUUGUCAGGGAAGAAACGCUCUGGGCUAAUACCCCGGGGUAAUGACGGUACCUGAAGAAUAAGCACCGGCUAACUACGUG
Molecule: ribosomal RNA, 482 nt
Filed under: uncultured bacterium
Lineage: Bacteria
Description: bacterial SSU rRNA
Rfam family: Bacterial small subunit ribosomal RNA
Source: RNAcentral